Amblyraja radiata (thorny skate) is the source of this 510-nucleotide long non-coding RNA. RefSeq lists it as uncharacterized. The transcript is spliced from 3 exons. The record is from RefSeq and is a predicted model, not a curated record. Lineage: Eukaryota; Metazoa; Chordata; Chondrichthyes; Rajiformes; Rajidae.
AACACAAGCAGCAAAUGAAAACAAAGCAAGAGGUACGAAAUGAACAGCAAGACUGUGCCAUACCACUGAAUGAAAUGCAAGAUCAAGGCGUGGGAAUCUCAAGUAAUGUCGCAAAUGGGGAGGAAAUGCCUAGAGUGCAGGCAUCCUGUUUACAAGAUGGGAUACUUUGAAUGGAGUCAACGUAAACUUGUCCAAAAGCAUUAACCCCGUGAUGUCCGAGCAUUUACCCCGUCAGACAGGGGAAACAUUGCAACCAUUCACAAAAUAACCAUGAGGGAGCUAUUUGCUGUAAAAUGUGCUGUAAAUGUAUUAAUGGCGCUGUCUGUAUUGGGCUUGCAAGCAAUUGAUGGGAUGAGUGUCUUGCAGAGAAUUGAUGAAGUUAAUCUAGUCCGGGACACGGCGCCAGAGGCCCGGGUUCGAUCCCGACUACGGGUGCUGCCUGUGCAGAGUCCAUCGAUCGCCCCAUACACUCACACUAUACCUACACACUUGUGCGUUCUCCCCGUGGUU